UAUGGCCAUAUAACAUUGAAACUCCGAUUCUCGUACUAUCGCUGAAGUUAAGCAACGUCGAACCUCGUCAGUACAUGAAUGGGUGACCGCUUGGGAAUAAAAGGUGUUGUAAG
Acanthosepion pharaonis is the source of this 113-nucleotide non-coding RNA. The record is from the annotation of a GenBank genome assembly. NCBI's taxonomy places the organism in Eukaryota, Metazoa, Mollusca, Cephalopoda, Sepiida, Sepiidae.